Molecule: ribosomal RNA, 342 nt
Filed under: Trypanosoma cruzi marinkellei
Lineage: Eukaryota; Euglenozoa; Kinetoplastea; Trypanosomatida; Trypanosomatidae
Description: bacterial SSU rRNA
Source: RNAcentral
UUGUUGGUUUUAAAAGUCCAUUGGAGAUUAUGGGGCAGUGUGUGGCAGACUUCGGUCUUGCCUUCGCAUCUCACACGUGUCAUGCCUUCCCUCAACUCACGGCAUCCAGGAAUGAAGGAGGGUAGUUCGGGGGAGAACGUACUCGAAGAUGAUUAGAGACCAUUGUAGUCCACACUGCAAACGAUGACACCCAUGAAUUGGGGAGUUUUUGGUCGUAGGCGUGGUCGGGUUUGAUUACUUUUUCAUCCCGUUCCUCGUCUCGCCAAUGAAUAUCAAUUUACGUGCAUAUUCUUUUUGGUCCUCGUUUUUACGGCGAGGGCCUUUAACGGGAAUAUCCUCAGC